This is a long non-coding RNA of Gorilla gorilla gorilla (western lowland gorilla), 1225 nucleotides long. RefSeq lists it as uncharacterized. The record is from RefSeq and is a predicted model, not a curated record. Lineage: Eukaryota; Metazoa; Chordata; Mammalia; Primates; Hominidae. The transcript is spliced from 5 exons.
GAAACAUCAGGCCGGGUGCGGUGGCUCACGCCUGUAUGGGAGGCCGAGGCGGGUGGAUCCCGAGGUCAGGAGAUCGAGACCACGGUGAAACCCCGUCUCUACUAAAAAUACAAAAAAAUUAGCCGGGCGCGGUGGCGGGCGCCGGUAGUCCCAGCUACUCGGGAGGCUGAGCCAGGAGAAUGGCGUGAACCCGGGAGGCAGAGCUUGCAGUGAGCCGAGAUCGCGCCACGGCACUCCAGCCUGGGCAACAGAGCGAGACUCCAUCUUAAAAAAACAAAAAAAAGAAACAUCAGUGGAAGAGGAAGAAACUGCAGGUACAGGAAUGAACUUACGUGAUCCUCAUUUCAAGGAGAAGAAGGAGAAGUUGAAGAAGGAGGAGAAGGAGAAGGAUGAGAAGAAAAAGGAGAACAGGAAGGAGAAAGAGGAGGAAAAUGAGAAGGAGAAGAAGAGAAGGAACAGCAGCAGUUGCAGGAGGAGGAGAAAGAGGAGGAGGAGGAGGAGGGAGUGUGCAGAAGCUGGGGGGGAUUCCAAUGUCGGAAGCAUUUUUAGCAUACAACAACGUCCAAGUGGAUUACUACGAAUGCCUAGACCUCUGUGGCAAACAGUGCUUAUACUAUUAUGAAAUGGUCAAGAGAUGAAGCAGAGAGAAGGAGAAAGAGAGAAAGAAAGAGAGAAAGAGAGCGGGAAAGAGAAAGAAGGAAAGAAUAUCCUAUAUACUGGCGGCCCUUGUUUGCAAAAUUCAUCAGAAGAGUAGUUUCUGCCUGCUUACUCUCUCUCCUUGUGCAGAAAAGAGUUUAUAUGAGAAGCCUGACUUUAAAUGGCCUGCUUAUAAUGGAAUUUGGAUUUCAGGAGAGUCUCCACCACCAUCAACCAUAAAAGUGGUUCAUUGUAUACAAACUGCUUACAUAAACAAUAUGGUUCAUGUCAGACACCUACUGUCACUCUGGGAGUUUGGAAUUUUGGUAUCCAUCAGUCAAAGACUGUCCACAUAACCAGUGUCCGAUAAAACCUUUGGGUUGUGAGACUCUAAUGAGAUUCUCUAGUUGGUAAAACUUCUCACAACUCAUUGCUGGGGGAAUUAAAUAUGUGAUUCUACUGAGAGAGAACACUUGGAAGCCCAUGCCUGAUUUCCCCCUAGACUUCACUCCUUACACGUCUUCCUUUUGCCAGUUGUGUUUGUUUUGUGUCCUGUUCCUGCAAUAAAUCAUAACUGUAAAUACAACUA